Molecule: long non-coding RNA, 811 nt
Organism: Aedes albopictus (Asian tiger mosquito)
Lineage: Eukaryota; Metazoa; Arthropoda; Insecta; Diptera; Culicidae
Exons: 2
Source: RefSeq, a predicted model, not a curated record
UUUCUCGGUAUCGAACGAUUAUCAUUUUGCAGAAACAAAAAAAAAACAGAUAAGCCCAAACCGGAUCUGCAUUUUUGUGCCAAAUUCUAUAUAAGCCUGACACUGACACUAGCUGUUCGCGAGCCAUCACAUACUUACAGGGUUGUUUCUGUUGUCCGAAAACAGUCGUCGUAACCAUGGAUACCGCAAACUGUCGUACCGAUUUUAAUGAUGUAUCUUCUGUUCAUGGUUGGGACAAUGACACACUACACGAACUAGAUGAUAGUUCUCUAACAAGUUCCCAAGGAGAAAGCAUCAUUACGGGAAUUACACGGACUAGUAUUAGAGAUCAAAAAAUUCCCACUCGUAGCGUCCCAUAUCCUGACUACGACGAUGACGACGAUGACGACGACGAUGACGAUGAUGACGAUGAUGAUGAUGACGAUGAUGAUGAUGAUUAUUAGUGGCUUAUUAGUGUUAAAUUGAAAUGUUUCCUAUGCGUUUUAGGAUAGAGAUUUGUAUUGUUCUAGAUGGAGAAACGUGUUUGUUGUGAAUCAAAAUUAAACAUCAACAGAAACUUGUGUUAAAAAUCAAACUCAACUGAUUUUCUUAAGAAAAUUACAGACGAUUAUAAACCUCUGGGACAUUCAGAGUCGUCCAAACUGUUCUAUAAUGAAGUCCUUCAAAUCUACAAAAAAAAAUGUGUUUUCGCCAUAAAUAAUAGCAUAGCAUAAUCUGCUGAGAUCCGUGAAGCUCUUUACAUCUCAAAUGUCAUUUAGAGACACUAUGGGAGUGUUCCAGGUCUGCCAAUAAAAAUACUGUAGAACUCCAA